GGAUGUGAGGGCAAUCUGGCUGCUACAUCUGUCACCCCUUUGAUCGCCAGAGUUGAUUCGGCUGAUCUGGUUGGAUAGGCGGGUGUCACCUUCCUCCCUCACAGCUCCAUGUGUGUCCCUCUGGAAACUGCACGCUCCUUUGAAGAGGAUGGCCUUCCCUGAAUAGAGAGGGACCAGUCUUAGGUAGAGGGUGUAUUAGUUGCUGUGCUCCCCUGCUAGAACCUCCAAACAAGCUCUCAAAGUAGAUGUCAGUUCAGUUCCCUAUAAGAGCUAUUAUCUGGCUUGCAAAACAUAGUCUUCUUGUGUGC
Erinaceus europaeus (western European hedgehog) is the source of this 308-nucleotide unclassified non-coding RNA. Its record names the gene 7SK. It matches the Rfam family "7SK RNA". Rfam says of the family: 7SK was discovered as an abundant small nuclear RNA in the mid-70s but a possible function has only recently been suggested. Two independent studies have found that 7SK RNA binds the CDK9/cyclin T complex (known as elongation factor P-TEFb). The record is from Ensembl. NCBI's taxonomy places the organism in Eukaryota, Metazoa, Chordata, Mammalia, Eulipotyphla, Erinaceidae.